GCCUGGGUGGCUCAGUCGGUUAAGCAUCUGACUUCGGCUCAGUUUCAUGAUCUCCCUGGGUUUGCGGGUUCGAGCCCUGCGUCAGGCU
RNAcentral lists this transfer RNA (88 nucleotides) under Felis catus (domestic cat). It matches the Rfam family "tRNA". Rfam says of the family: Transfer RNA (tRNA) molecules are approximately 80 nucleotides in length. Lineage: Eukaryota; Metazoa; Chordata; Mammalia; Carnivora; Felidae. The record is from Rfam by way of RNAcentral.